AUGGCACAGCCCCAGCAGCAGGACACUGUUAUUAGCCACUUCUCCCACCCGUAUCCAGGGCACGAGCUCGUGAAGCGACACUACACCGGGCCGUUCCGCUGUGACAUGUGCUGGGAGAAACUGUCCGGCACCGCCUACGGCUGUGGCGCCGGCUGCGACUUCGUCAUCCACGAGUCCUGCGCCGGCCACGCGCCGACGUUAUCGUCCCCCGAGCUCCAUGCGCACCCGCUCGUGCUCGUCCAGACCCACCGCGACGCGACUCUCUCGUGUGACGUCUGCUUGGGGCGCUGCGCCCCGGGCUCCUUCCUCUACCGUUGUCCACCAUGCGUGUUCGAUAUGCACCUGACCUGCGCGCGGCUACCCCAGGUCGUGCCCAGCGCGCGGGACUCUAUGCACGACCUCAGGUUGGUCGUCGCCGACGGCCGCUGUGCCGCGUGUGACUCCGGCGCAGGGCGCGCGUCAUACUACCGCUGCACAGCGUGCAACUUGGACUUCCACAUCUCGUGUGCAGCCACCAUCGGCGACAACAACAGCGCUCGUGAAGCUCAAGUAGCCCUUGAGGCUGAGAUUGUAGGACAAAGGAUCGACGAGCAGGCUAGAAACGACAUGUUGGACCUGUUUAGCCCUUCCUAUACGGUACGGAGAGAGUACUUCUAA
Molecule: ribosomal RNA, 657 nt
Filed under: Triticum aestivum (bread wheat)
Lineage: Eukaryota; Viridiplantae; Streptophyta; Magnoliopsida; Poales; Poaceae
Description: partial small subunit ribosomal RNA
Source: RNAcentral